CGUGAGGAACCUGCCUCAAAGAGGGGGACAACAGUUGGAAACGACUGCUAAUACCGCAUGAAGCAUAGGGGUCGCAUGAUCUCUAUGCCAAAGAUUUAUCGCUUCAAGAUGGCCUCGCGUCUGAUUAGCUAGUUGGCGGGGUAACGGCCCACCAAGGCGACGAUCAGUAGCCGGACUGAGAGGUUGAGCGGCCACAUUGGGACUGAGAUACGGCCCAG
Molecule: ribosomal RNA, 218 nt
Filed under: uncultured bacterium
Lineage: Bacteria
Description: partial 16S ribosomal RNA
Rfam family: Bacterial small subunit ribosomal RNA
Source: RNAcentral